AAGCCCAUGGCUCAAUGGUUAGGGCGUUGGACUGUGGAUCAACAGGUCGCGGGUUCGAGCCUCNCACGGCUUG
This 73-nucleotide transfer RNA is filed under the name Schistocephalus solidus. It matches the Rfam family "tRNA". From Rfam's summary of the family: Transfer RNA (tRNA) molecules are approximately 80 nucleotides in length. Their secondary structure includes four short double-helical elements and three loops (D, anti-codon, and T loops). Further hydrogen bonds mediate the characteristic L-shaped molecular structure. tRNAs have two regions of fundamental functional importance: the anti-codon, which is responsible for specific mRNA codon recognition, and the 3' end, to which the tRNAs corresponding amino acid is attached (by aminoacyl-tRNA synthetases). tRNAs cope with the degeneracy of the genetic code in two manners: having more than one tRNA (with a specific anti-codon) for a particular amino acid; and 'wobble' base-pairing, i.e. permitting non-standard base-pairing at the 3rd anti-codon position. The record is from Rfam by way of RNAcentral. Lineage: Eukaryota; Metazoa; Platyhelminthes; Cestoda; Diphyllobothriidea; Diphyllobothriidae.